RNAcentral lists this ribosomal RNA (265 nucleotides) under uncultured bacterium. RNAcentral describes it as "partial 16S ribosomal RNA". It matches the Rfam family "Bacterial small subunit ribosomal RNA", at positions 793 to 1055 of the family's 1533-position model. The record is from RNAcentral.
GUCCACGCCGUAAACGAUGGGCACUAGGCGUCGGGGGGAGCGACCCCCUCGGUGCCGUCGCUAACGCAGUAAGUGCCCCGCCUGGGGAGUACGGUCGCAAGACUGAAACUCAAAGGAAUUGACGGGGGCCCGCACAAGCGGUGGAGCAUGUGGUUUAAUUCGAAGCAACGCGAAGAACCUUACCUGGGCUUGACAUGCUGGUGAAAGCUCGUGGAAACACGAGCCCCUCUUCGGAGCGCCAGCACAGGUGCUGCAUGGCUGUCGU